This 253-nucleotide ribosomal RNA is filed under the name uncultured bacterium. Its description in RNAcentral is "partial 16S ribosomal RNA". It matches the Rfam family "Bacterial small subunit ribosomal RNA", at positions 524 to 776 of the family's 1533-position model. The record is from RNAcentral.
UACGAAGGGGGCUAGCGUUGUUCGGAAUUACUGGGCGUAAAGCGCACGUAGGCGGAUAUUUAAGUCAGGGGUGAAAUCCCAGAGCUCAACUCUGGAACUGCCUUUGAUACUGGGUAUCUCGGGUAUGGAAGAGGUGAGUGGAAUUCCGAGUGUAGAGGUGAAAUUCGUAGAUAUUCGGAGGAACACCAGUGGCGAAGGCGGCUCACUGGUCCAUUACUGACGCUGAGGUGCGAAAGCGUGGGGAGCAAACAGG